RNAcentral lists this ribosomal RNA (301 nucleotides) under uncultured bacterium. Its description in RNAcentral is "partial 16S ribosomal RNA". It matches the Rfam family "Bacterial small subunit ribosomal RNA", at positions 509 to 807 of the family's 1533-position model. The record is from RNAcentral.
CAGUAGCCACGGUAAUACGGAGGGCGCGAGCGUUACCCGGAUUUACUGGGCGUAAAGGGCGUGUAGGCGGCCUGGGGCGUCCCAUGUGAAAGGCCACGGCUCAACCGUGGAGGAGCGUGGGAUACGCUCAGGCUAGAGGGUGGGAGAGGGUGGUGGAAUUCCCGGAGUAGCGGUGAAAUGCGCAGAUACCGGGAGGAACGCCGAUGGCGAGGGCAGCCACCUGGUCCACUUCUGACGCUGAGGCGCGAAAGCGUGGGGAGCAAACCGGAUUAGAUACCCCCGUAGUCCCUGUCUCUUAUAC